Long non-coding RNA from Protopterus annectens (West African lungfish), 468 nucleotides. RefSeq lists it as uncharacterized. The transcript is spliced from 3 exons. The record is from RefSeq and is a predicted model, not a curated record. NCBI's taxonomy places the organism in Eukaryota, Metazoa, Chordata, Ceratodontiformes, Protopteridae.
GUCUUUUGGGUUUACUUGUCUUCAAAGGGAGCUGUAGCAGGAGAGUAUUCCUUGGAACUUUGGUAAUAGGGUGUACGGCCCUAGUUAGGUACAAAAUAUCCACCCAGGUAAGAGCACAGGGGGAAAAGAUUCAGGGCGCAAAAGUUUACGUUCUUAUAGAGUCUUUUGGGUUUACUUGUCUUCAAAGGGAGCUGUAGCAGGAGAGUAUUCCUUGGAACUUUGGUAAUAGGGUGUACGGCCCUAGUUAGGUACAAAAUAUCCACCCAGGUAAGAGCACAGGGGGAAAAGAUUCAGGGCGCAAAAGUUUACGUUCUUAUAGAGUCUUUUGGGUUUACUUGUCUUCAAAGGGAGCUGUAGCAGGAGAGUAUUCCUUGGAACUUUGGUAAUAGGGUGUACGGCCCUAGUUAGGUACAAAAUAUCCACCCAGGUAAGAGCACAGGGGGAAAAGAUUCAGGGCGCAAAAGUUUA